RNAcentral lists this unclassified non-coding RNA (459 nucleotides) under Zea mays. RNAcentral's name for it is "misc RNA Zm00001eb122540". Lineage: Eukaryota; Viridiplantae; Streptophyta; Magnoliopsida; Poales; Poaceae. The record is from RNAcentral.
AUGCUCAGAGGCGCGCCGCCCGAGACGCCGAACCGGCUCCAGAGCUCCAUCGGGUGCACCGUGUGUUUGAUCGUGAGCGGGAAGUGGGCAACGCCGCCGCCGCCGCCGUCGACGCGGGUGAUCUGCCCCACCGUGAGGCUGCGGCGGGUGGCCGUGAAGGUGGUCUGCACGUACAGGCACACGCGGGAGUGGCACGCCUCGGCGCCGACGCCGAGGCAGCCCACCAUGCAGAGCUGCCCCGUGGACGCGCGCCACACCCCCUCGGCCGAGAGGGUCGUGCCGCCGAGCCCGCUCCGCUUCCCCGCCGAGUACUUGUGCUCCCACGGCGGCACGGCGCGGAACACGGCCGACACCCGCGCCGUGCUCUCGCCGCCCGGGGCGUUCCUCGGCUCGCACCGGACGUCCUGCAUCACGACUCUCACGUCCGUGAAGGCACCGUCCGUCGCGUCGACGGUCUUG